Molecule: ribosomal RNA, 295 nt
Filed under: uncultured Desulfobulbus sp.
Lineage: Bacteria; Pseudomonadati; Thermodesulfobacteriota; Desulfobulbia; Desulfobulbales; Desulfobulbaceae
Description: partial 16S ribosomal RNA
Rfam family: Bacterial small subunit ribosomal RNA
Source: RNAcentral
GCAACGAGCGCAACCCUUGCCUUUAGUUGCCAGCAGUUCGGCUGGGCACUCUAAAGGGACUGCCGGUGUUAAACCGGAGGAAGGUGGGGAGUGACGUCAAGUCCUCAUGGCCUUUAUGACCAGGGCUACACACGUACUACAAUGGCCGAUACAAAGGGCAGCGACACUGCGAGGUGAAGCCAAUCCCGUAAAAUACGGUCUCAGUCCGGAUUGGAGUCUGCAACUCGACUCCAUGAAGUUGGAAUCGCUAGUAAUCGUGGAUCAGCAUGCCACGGUGAAUACGUUCCCGGGCCUU